UUCGAGAUCCAGAUCGAGAGAACCACUGUGAGAGAGAGGACGAAAUCGAGAUCGAGAGAAUGAGUGAGAGAGGACGAGUGACAGUGAGAGUGAGAGAUUGUCGAAUCGAGAGAGGAAUCAAAAGGAACCGAGACGAAUUGAGGGUUUGAGUUUGUUUGCUUUUGUUCUUGACAUCGAGAGAGAGAGAGAGAGAGAGAGAGAGAGAGAGCUAUGUUUGAGUUUACGCGUCUGAGACUGUUUUGCAC
Molecule: long non-coding RNA, 245 nt
Filed under: Trifolium pratense (red clover)
Lineage: Eukaryota; Viridiplantae; Streptophyta; Magnoliopsida; Fabales; Fabaceae
Description: long non-coding RNA (TPRA_LNC004520)
Source: RNAcentral